CUAUAUAAAGCCUUUACAAUAGUUGUAAACGGGCUAAUUUGCCCGAGUCAACCAAAAUACAAAAUAAAUGUAAAAUCCAAAAAAAAAAUAUAAAACAAAAUAAAUACUGUCCAAAUUACAGCCCAGAUCACUUGGCCCAAUUUCACAAAUGAUCCAACAAAGAAAUAGGCCCAGAUGGCCCAAAAGUUAAAACACUACAGAAACCCUAGGGCUUCUCCCACUUUGCGCCGCAGCCGAGCCCCAGCCUCCAUGUGCCUUCAGCAUCGUACGACCGCCACGCGCGCUUCCGUACGCCUCACGCCAAGUCCCAACACAUGCCCCGUAACCCGUAACUUUAAACGAACAAAAGAACGACAGCAAAAAGCAAGAAAAAUAUUGUAUUUUUAUAUUUAUUUUUCUUUUAGAUUUCGGCUAUAAAGCAAGACAAACAAUGUAUUGAUUUUUUUUACGCAUAAAAAACACGCAAUAGAAGGUAAUCAAAUAUAAAAAAAAAAUAGAGAAAGAUGAUUUUUUGCUUUCGAUUUCUAUACUCUUUUUCUUUUACUUCUUUCUUUUUACUGGCAUUUACUCAAAUCCUUCAUCAUUGCAUUUAGAAAAAUAAAAGAAAAGGGAUAAGAUAAACUUUACCUUGCAAAUAUGCCGUAGAUCUCUUUUGGCUUCGUCGAAAUCGAACUCAAAAUGAAAUUUCGAGGCUAAAAAAUGUCCCUCAAGGCAUGAAGGUACUGAUCGCCAUUUAGGGAGGUGAAUCGGUGCUUAAAAGGAGGGCUAGAGUUCAGCUGAAGAGAAUGAAAUGGGGAAGCUAGAGUUGUUUUCAUGGUUCGGCUGAAUGAAGGCCUCAUUUGGCUUCUAUAAAGAAGCAAAAACGGUGCCAUUUAAACCAUCUUCAAUGGUUUAAAAAGACGUCGUCUGGAGCCAGCCCGACUUGAUCCGGUCCGUCGCCCCUGGAACCUGUGCGUUUUUACGGUGAGGGGAUAUUUACACGAUAGGUCCUCCCCUUUCGCGUGUGCAUUCAAUCGCACCUUAUCUGUUUUGCUUUUUUUUCUUAAAUUAGUUCUUUAAUUUGUACGCAUUUUCAUUUUAGUCCGAUGUACAGCGCAGCGUUUUGGUCUAGGGGAUAUUUCUAUUUCUAGCCCCCAUAUAUUUGCGCGGAUUACUUAUUGAUCCAAUUUUUGAUUAUUUUAUUUAUAAAUUAUUCCUCUUAUUUUAAUUCAGUUUUAAUUUAGUUUUCUAUUUGUAUAACUUACCAUUUUAACAUAUUUAAUAUUUCUAUGCUGAUCUGUUUUAAUCAUUUUGUUUGGUUCUAUUUGUACAAUUGUUUUUGAAGAUUAUUUUAACAUUUUUGUACAAUAUUCCUUUAGAUAAUCUAUAUAUAUUUGUACAUGUAGUAUUUUAAUUGAGUUUUUGACUCGUAAUGCUUACUAUUUUAAAGUUCCUAACAUUUUUAUAUAUGUGUAUAUGCGUUGAGUUCUCUUAAAAACUUUAUCUUGUUUAUAAAAUCAUCGUUUUAAAAUUCUUUUUACAUAUGUGUAUAUGCGUUGAGUUCUCUUAAAGUUACUAUUUUAACGCUUUUAUAUAACAUUUUGUUUAAAUAUUUAUAUAUAUUGGUACAUCUAUUUGAUCUAUAUACAUUACUAAAUCCAUGUAUUUUAUAACUAUAGUUUUCUUUGUACAUAAGAGUAUGUUUUUAAGUCUAUUAUAUAUAUAAUUUAUAAUAAAAUUAAUAUAAUUCUAUGUACAUAUUAUGUCCCAUGCUAAUUUAUUUUAUAAGUUCUUUUAAAUUUAUCCGUAUAUAUUUUUAUGUAUAUGAGUCAUUUUUUUGAACAUAUUUUAUUACAUAUUGUUUUGAUUUAAAGUCUUACAUUUAAAUACUAUUUAUAUAUAUACACAUUUGUCAACAUACACAUUUGUCAGCUUUAAAUGGAUACAUCAUCUUUAAAAUAUUUAUGUCCAUUAUUUGACUCAAAUUUCCUCUUUUAUAAUAUAUAUUUCACUAAUAAGCUAUGUAUAUACUUAGUUUUUAUAUAUAUAAAUUAUUUCUAAUUUUGCAUGUGUUAUUCACUUAUGAUUUUUUAUAUAUAUAGUUUUAUAUCGAUUCGCCUCAUAGUAGCUCUUAAUUUCUAUAUUGUUUUGUAUUUUGAUUUUUUUUAUUAUUAUGUCAAUUAUUCUCCAUACAUGCUUGAACAUUGAGUUAUAUUUUUUAGAUUAAUUAUAUUUAAUUGUUUUGUUAGUUGAUUAAAUAAGUUAUAUUAUCUUCAUUCAUCCAUUGUCGUAUUUUAUGCAUACAUGUUAUCCUAUGUCUCCAUUUUUUUCCUCUUGGUUUACAAAUGUUGCUUUAUAACUUCCAACUCUUUAAAACUAUGUAUCCCGCUUUAUUUCAAGUCGAAUUAAUGCGUUUUAAGCUAGUUUUAUAACUAUUCAUUCAAAAAUUCUUUAAAACGAAGGCAAUGUUCGAUGUUUGGCAAUUCGGGGAAUCGUGCCCUAUCGUGCUGAUUGCAAUAUCUCGUUUGUCCAAAAUAAUCGAAUAUUCCUUUGGAAUUUCACUCAUGUCUUUAAAAAUUCUUCAAAACGAAGGAAAUGUUCGAUGUUUAGCAAUUCGGAGAAUCGUGCCCUAUCGUGCUGGGUUGCAAUUUCUCGUUUGCUCAAAAUAAUCAAAUAUUCCUUUAGAAUUUCACUCAUGUUUUCUAAAUUCUAAAACAAGGCAAUGUUCAAUAUUUGGAAAUUCAGGGAAUCGUGCCCUACCGUGCUGGGUUUCGAUUUUUCGUUGGACUAAAUAAUUGGGCAUCCUUUUGUAAUUUUCAACGUAUAAACUUUCGGAAGUCAAAGUUUAUCGUUGUUUUUGAGGGUAUAAAGGAUCGUGUCCUAUCGUGUUGGAUGUGAUGCUGCAUUCCUCUGAAACAAGAGAAUUUUGACAACCAACUUGAGCCAUUCAAAUGCUUCAAAAGGAACCAUAUUUCAAAAACAGCUUUAAAACUUAGACAUAAGGACAACACUUAAUCAAUUUGGUACCAAUUUUGGGCGUAGUGAGGGUGCUAAUCCUUCCUCAUAUGUAACCAACUCCUGAACCUGUUUUCUCAAAUUUACGUAGGCCAAAAUCGAUUUAAAUAAAACAAAGUGUUUUAUUGGGUGACCCAAUCACACCUAAAUAAAAGAUUGGUGGCGACUCCACAUUUUUGUUUUUUAAAGUCAAUCCCCACUAUUUUUUAACUUUAAAAAAAAUAGUUUCGACAGCUUGGCGACUCCACUGGGGAACAAGAGAGUCUAGCCAUAAAAUUGAUUAUUUGUUCUCCUUUUGUUGAAGUAUCGAAAAUUUGUUUUAUCAUGAUUGUAUUUGUUUGUAUGAUUGUUAUGGUUCGGGCUUUUAGAAUAAUACUGCAUUUCAUUGCAUGAUCGCUGUGGUCUCACCUUCUAAGUGGGAGUAAGAAACUAUGCUUUCGUGAGGUUUUCACCUCCGCAUGAGCUAGUGGAUUGCUUCCGGGAUACAUCCGUACUUAUGAUUUCGUGAGAUUUUCAUCUCCGUAUGGUCAUAGGGAAAUGUAUUUCUCUGAAUCGAACUCGAUCUAUAUGAGCCUAUAAUGGGUGAGGAUUGAGGAAUCUGCUAGUUUAGGUACCUUAUCUCUAGAACCGAACCACAUAUAGCGAGCCUUAAGAGCUAUCCUUGGGUGGAGCCACAUCAAGCCUUAGUAUUUGCCCAUAUAUGUGUUAUAAUUAUCUUUCCUGUGCUUGUAUUUUAUCGCUUGUAUUUGAUACUAACUUGUGUUUUGUUUUGAUUGUGUUUUGCAUGACAUUGCAUACUAAAGGAGGUGUUGAUUCGUAUUCGAUUACUAAGUUAGAAAGUUUGACAUGGAGAAUGAAUUUCUUAAUAAAGUUGAGGAUAACACAGCUGUUCGCGCAUGGUCAGAGAAGUUACAAUCGGAGAAAGGGAAUAGCCUAGAAGAAGGAUAUACAUCAGAGUUAUAGGAAUUCACUCGCGUCAAUGUAGCACAAAAUGAGUUGCAAGAGUUGAGAGAUAUAUGGGCUCGUUGGGAUGAAGGAACCAAACAGUUGUUCUAUCAAAGCUAUGGUGAUAUAUCUUACUUGCUAGAUAUUAAGGUGGACAAGCACCUGUUGUAACGCCCCUUACCCGAGACCGUCGCCGGAGUCGAGCACAAGGCACUACUAAACUUAUUUGAGCACUUAACCAAAUUCAGAUAAUUUAUAUCAUACUUUUCAGACAAGCUAUCCAACUGCAUCAUAGUUGCUAAAAAAAUCAUAUCUCGAGUUAUAAAACUCGAAAUUCAAAUCCGUAAAAUUUCCUCGAAUUUAGACUCAUAUAUCUACUUAGAAAAUUUUUUUAUAUAAUUUUUGGUUGGUCAAAUUAGUACAGUUUAUUAGUUAAAUUCUCCCCUGUUUCAGGGUUUGGCUACUUUGACCCUUGUGCACUACGAACCAAAUUUCUCCCUGUACAGAAUUCAAAUAACCAUGCCGUUUGUUUCUCUUAGAAAUAGACCCAAUGAGGAAUCCACACAUAUACAGUAUGACUCAUAAUUAUUUUUUUGAAAUUUUUAAUGAUUUUUACAAAUUAGAACAAGGGAACUCGAAGUCAUUCAGACUCUAUCUCACAACAAUUUAAAUAUCUCAUAACAUAAAAUCCAAUUGCAUGCACCGUUUCCUCUAUAUGAAACUAGACUCAUUAGGAUUUAAUCUCAUUUUUUUCUCAACCCUUAACUCAAUUUCCAAAAUUUAUGGUGAAUUUUCAAAGUCAAACUACUGCUACUUACCAAAAACUAUUUUAGUACAAAUAUUGUUAACUAGUUUAUAACAUCUUUUCUUCAAUUCAUUCAAAAGCUAUACAUGCCAUAUAAAUCUUUAAACAUAAAACAAAAACUACCAGAAUUGAUCUGAAUAGUGUGCCUUGUUUUGUUGAUCCGAUCUACCAACUUCUCUUUAAUUCAAUCUACAAAAGAAAUUAUCAAACACACACAAGUAAGCUUAUUGAAGCUUAGUAAGCUCAUAGGCAUAAAAACACAAAUCUUAUCAAAUAUUGUACACAAUCAUAUAUCUACUAGUUUAACUAUUUCAUCCUCCAAAUCACAAUUUCAUUAAUAACUCAUUUGAAUAAUUUCCAUAUGGCUACUCACAAUUUAACUCCCUUAGGCCCAUUUCUCAUUUACUUCAUUGUCAAAUUAGGGAACAAUAAGGGAAUUGAGUGCUCCAUUAUCACAUUGCCAUAGUAAACUAUGGACUUUCACAUUGUUACCCAUCACACACCGAAGCCAUAGCCUUGCCAUGGUCUUACACGGUUCACAUAUCAUACCGAAGCCAUAUCCCAGACAUGGUCUUUUACAGAAUCACAUUAUCACAUUAUACCGAUGCCAUAGCCCAGCUAUGGUCUUAUACGGAGUCACAUUAUUACAUUGACCAAUGUCAUAGCCCAGCUAUGGUCUUAAACGGGCGCACUUAUCACAUAUUUUUCGUCAAUUCAUCAGGGUCACAGAAUAGAAGCACUCAAAUCCAUUGUUCCUACUAAUUUGUACUUUUAGUUACACAUUAUUUAUUAGUUAAUGCAAAUUGAUAGUAUUCAUCAACAAUAAAAUACUUUAACAAUCAUAAGAUUUUCAUAACAAAACAUUGAACUUUGCCAUAUGAACUUACCUGGUCUAAUUUGCAAAAGUCGUAGAAAUUGAGGGACUAUUCUUGAAUUUUUUCCUUUCCACGAUUCAGUUCGUUUUCUUGAUAUGAUGUAAAAAUAUGAAAAACCAGCUUUCUCCAGACCUUCUACGGCGUUUUGGCUGAUAAAAUAUGAAGAGAUCUCUAGAUUCUUCAAUUUUGUUCUUAUUUUAUAUGUUAAAGUUGUAAAAUUUCCAAUUUUGCCCUUAUUUCCCUUAUUUUUCUGCUGAUUUUCUUGCCUUUGCCGUCCAGCCUAUUAACUUUUAGGCUUAAUUUCCCUUUAAAUCUUCCUUCUUUUAACACUUGAGCUAUUUAAUCCUUUUAGCAAAAUUUAUUUUUAUUACAAUUUAGUCCUUUUUAUUUAAUUGACUACCUAAUCGUUAAAAUUUCUCAAACAAACUUUAAUACUAGCUAAAUGAAACUUCAUAAAUAUUUAUAAAAAUAUUUAUAGCUUGAUUUUCAAAUUCGAGGUCUCGAUACCUCAUUUUUGACCCGUUUGACCUAAUAAAUUCUUUUAAUUCACUAAUUUCACCAUUUCACAAAUUCUUCUAAAUUCUUACGUGACUCAUAAAUAUUAAAUUACUAUCUUGUUCAAUCUUAUUUGUCAGAUUUAGUGAUCUCAAAUCACCAUUUUCGACACCACUGAAAAUUAGGCCGUUACAACUCUCCCCCCUUAGGAAAUUUCGUCCUCGAAAUUUGUACCUGAAAAUAAAUGCGGAUAUUGUGAUCUCAUAGAUUCUUCUGUUUCCCAAGUUGCCUCCUCCAAUCCAUGUCGAUGCCAUAACACUUUUACUAACGGUACUCGUUUAUUCCGUAGUUCUUUAACUUCCCGAGCUAAUAUUUUCACUGGUUCCUCCGAAUAAGUCAUAUCUGAUUGUAGCUCUAUCUCAGUAUGAGGAAUCACAUGUGAAGGGUCUGAUCUAUAUCGUCUCAACAUAGAUACAUGAAAUACAUUAUGGAUCUUCUCAAGUUCUGGAGACAAGGCCAAUCUAUAAGCUGCCGGACCGAUCCUCUCGAUGAUUUCGUAUGGUCCGAUAAAUCGUGGACUAAGCUUUCCUUUUCUACCAAACCGUAAAACUUUCUUCCACGGAGAAACUUUCAAGAACACAUGAUCACCCACAUUGAACUCUAUAUCUCUUCUUUUCAAAUCUGCAUACGACUUUUGACGAUCGGAAGCAGCUUUCAAACUUUCUCGAAUAAUCUGAACUUUUUCUUCAGUUUCCUGAAUUAAAUCCACUCCGACUAAUUUCGAUUCACUUAAUUCUGACCAAUACAACGGGGUUCUGCACUUCCUUCCAUACAGAGCUUCAAACGGUGCCAUUUUGAUACUAGCUUGAUAACUGUUAUUAUAAGCAAAUUCAGCUAACGGUAAGUACCUUUCCCAGUUGCCACUGAACUCGAGUAUACAACACCUUAACAUAUCUUCCAAAAUCUGAAUCACUCGCUCUGAUUGUCCAUCUGUCUGAGGGUGAAAAGCUGUACUAAAUUUUAACUUAGUACCUAAAGCUUCCUGUAGUUUAUUCCAAAAUCUCGAAGUAAACCUCGGAUCUCGAUCAGAAAUAAUUGAUGUCGGCACCCCAUGUAAUCUCAAAAUUUCUGACACAUAUAAUUCCGCUAACUUAUCAAGCGAGAAAUCUAUUCUGACUGGAAUAAAAUGCGCCGACUUAGUUAAUCUGUCUACUAUCACCCAAAUCGAAUCUUUCUUCUUCGGAGUCACUGGUAAUCCAGAUACAAAAUCCAUCGUCACAUGUUCCCACUUCCAUUCUGGAAUCAUUACGGGUUGUAACAAACCUGUAGGCACUUGAUGUUCAGCUUUUACUUGUUGACAGAUUAAACAUUUUGCCACAAAUUCACAAAUUUCCCGUUUCAUACCAGGCCACCAAUACAUUUUUUUCAAAUCACAAUACAUCUUCGUACUACCCGGAUGAAUCGAGUACAUACUACUAUGAGCCUCUGAUAAGAUAUCCUUCUUCAAUUCUAGAUUAUUCGGGACACAAAUUCUAUUACGAUGGUAUAAUAUACCACUAUUAUCAAUAGAGUAAUCUAAGUUCAAAUUAUCCCGAACCAUUUGUCGUUUCAACACCAACUUCAGAUCUUCAUCUUGUAAUUCCCGAAUUCGUUGAAAGAAUACUGGUUUUGUCUUUAAUUCAGCUAAUAUAGAACCAUUUUUAUUAACAGACAAAUGAGCAUUUAACGCCCGAAGAGCAAAUAAUGAUGAUUUCUGACUAAGUGCAUCUGCUACUACAUUUGCCUUACCCUGAUGAUAAUCAAUGAUAAGAUCGUAAUCUUUCAACAGCUCUAACCAUCGCCUCUGUCUCAAAUUCAGCUCUUUCUGCGACAUUAAAUAUUUCAAACUUUUAUGGUCUGUAUACACAUAACAUUUCUCUCCAUAUAAGUAGUGUCUCUAAAUUUUUAAAGCAAAUACUAUGGCAGCUAAUUCAAGAUCAUGUGUAGGGUAGUUCCUCUCAUGUGGUUUCAACUGUCGAGAAGUAUAUGCUACAACUUUUCCUGACUGCAUCAAUACACAACCUAAACCAUUCAGAGACGCAUUACUAUAUACUACAUAUGGCACACCUGAUUCAGGCUGAGUUAACACUGGAGCCUCUGUCAACAUUUUCUUUAAUUGAUCAAAACUUCGUUGGCACUCAUCAGACCAUACAAACUCAACAUUCUUCUGUAAUAAUUUAGUUAUCGGUGAAGCAAUCAGUGAAAGUCUUUCACAAAUCGACGAUAGUAACCAGCUAAUCCAAGGAAACUUCGCACUUCCGUAACAUUCUUUGGAGUUUUCCAAUUAAUCACCGUUGACACCUUACUCGGAUCUACCCGUAUACCAUCAACUGACACAAUGUGACCCAAGAAUCCCACUUCAUGAAGCCAAAAUUCACAUUUACUAAAUUUUGCAUAUAACUAUUUUUCCCUUAAUAUCUGUAGUACAAUUCUCAAGUGCUGAGCAUGCUCGGAUUCUGUCUUUGAAUAGAUCAAUAUAUCGUCAAUAAACACAACCACAAAUCUAUCCAGGUAAGACUGGAAAAUUCGAUUCAUUAAAUCCAUAAAAGUAGCAGGAGCAUUUGUCAAACCGAAUGGCAUAACUAAGAACUCAUAAUGACCAUACCGAGUUCUAAAAGCUGUUUUCGGCACAUCACAUUCCUUUACCUUUAACUGAUAAUACCCAGAUCUGAGAUCUAUUUUUGAAAACACUGCAGCAUCCUUAAGCUGAUCGAAUAAAUCAUCAAUACGAGGCAAAGGAUAUUUAUUUUUAAUUGUUACCUUAUUCAGCUGCCUGUAAUCUAUACACAGCUUCAAUGAACCAUCCUUCUUUUUCACAAAUAAAACAGGUGCACCCCAUGGCGACAUACUCGGUCUGAUAAACCCUUUGUCUAACAGCUCUUGCAACUGCGUUUUUAACUCUCUUAAUUCUGCUGGAGCCAUUCUAUACGGUGUCACCGAUAUGGAAGCUGUUCCCGGAAGCACAUCUAUCACGAACUCAACUUCUCUAUCGGGUGGUAAACCUGGUAAUUCUUCAAGAAAUACAUCCAUGAAUUCAUUUACAAUAGAUAGUUGCUCUAACUUUGAUUUAAAAUUUCGAGUAUCAAGAAUAUAGGCUAAAUAAGCUUCAUUUCCUUUACGCAACAAUUUAUGAGCAGACAUAAAGGAAAUCAUUCUAACCAUAUCAUCCAAAUUUCCAAACUCAACCAAAAUAAUAUCUCCUGUUUGACAUUUCAAGCUAAUUCGUUUUUCUCGAAAAUUCACUACCGCGUCAUGUUUCAUUAACCAGUCCAUGCCCAAGAUAAUAUCAAAUUCACGAAAGGGUAGCAGCAUCAAAUCAGCGGGGAAAUCACAGCCCUUAACUUUCAGUGGACAGUUAUGACAUAUUAAAUUAACUACCACACUUUGACCUAACGGAUUUGUAACUUGUACAUCAUAAUCAGUAGACUCAACAAAUAAAUUCUUUUCAGAUGCUAACAUAGUGAAAAUAUAUGAAUGAGUAGACCCAGGUCUAUUAAAGCAUACACAGGAACAUCAUAAAGAUAGAAAGUACCAGCAAUUACAUCUGGAGCUGUUGCUUCUUCUCUUGCUCGAAUGACAUAAGUACGAGCAGGGGCCCUAACUUCUGAUCGGCUAGCAGUAUCUUUCAUACCCGAACGAGUAGCCCUUGUAGCACUGCUCUGACCAGAGCGUAUUCCUUUUUGAGGAGGAAUUUUCUAUUUCUCCCUCUGUUCCACUUCUUCUACUUGUAAUUGGGGACAAUCACGAAUAAAGUGAUCAGUGGCCCCACAUUUAUAACAAGCCCCUAACUUACUUCUACAUUCACCGGGGUGACUUCUUCUACAAUGUUGACACUUAGGCCUUUGGGUAUUUUGUACACUACCCACACAAACAACAGGUCUGUCAGAUGCUUUGUAAUCAGAUUGUCUUGGCCUAUUUUUUCCUGAUCUUUCCGGUGCUGAAGUGGCUCGACUGAAUUCGUCUUUAGAUUUCUUCACUGGUAAAGCCGAAAAUGACUUAGAUGCACUUCUUUUGAAAGAUUCUUUACUUCUCCUAUCUCGUUGCAUCUUUCUAUUAUAUACUUCUUCAAGCUUCUGAGAACGAUCUGAUAGAACAAUAAAUUCUCGUAUCUCAAUGCCCCCUAUCAUCAUUUUAAUCUCAUCAUUAAGCCCUUCUUCAAAUCUGAUACACAUUUCUUCUUCAGUGGGUACUAUAUCUCGAGCAUAUUUGCUUAGUUAGACAAAUUCUCUUUCAUAUUCAGCCACUGACUUGUUUCCCUGUCGCAAGUCGAGAAAUUCUCUUUUCUUCUUAUCCAGAUAUCUUCUACCGACAUAUAUCUUCUUAAAUUCAUUUUGAAAAAAUUCCCAAGUGAUCUUCUCAGCUGGUACAACAGCUUCUAUUGUUUCCCACCAGUUAUAAGCUUCUUCUUUCAAUAAUGACAUGGCACAUAUUAAGUAAUCAUCUGGUGAACACGCCAUUUGCUUAAAAACCCUCAUUAUACUUUGUAACCAAUAUUCAGCUUUUACGGGGUCAUCAUCUGCUCUUCCCUGAAAUUCUUUAGCCCCAUGUUUUCUGAGCUUUUCAAAUGGAGAACGUUUGCCAGAUUCAGUUGUCGGAGGAGGUGGAGGAGCAACCGGGGGUACUACCGAUGUUGAGAUAGGGGGAGGAGGUUGCAGAGUCUGAUUUCUUUCUCGCACAUUCUCAUUAUACCACUGAUUCAUGAAUCCAUAAAUCAUAUUUUUGAGUUCUUGUUCUCGCAUCAAUGAAAUCGGAACUUCACUACUUGUUCCUUGUUCAGAGAUUUGUACUCUACUGUUAACUUGUUCUUGCUCAGUUUGUUCUGGUCUAUCUGACAUCUUUUCAAAUCGAAGAUAUUCUAUAAUAAAAAUAAGGAUUAGAUCGGAUCAUACACAGCACACUAUCACAGAUUUAUAUGGCAUGUAAUUCUAGACACUUUUCACAUCAUACAUAUUCCGAGAAUCGGCUAAACCGAAGCUCUGAGACCAAUAAAUGUAACGCCCCUUACCCGAGACCGUCGCCGGAGUCGAGCACAAGGCACUACUAAACUUAUUUAAGCACUUAACCAAAUUCAGAUAAUUUAUAUCAUACUUUUCAGACAAGCUGUCCAACUGCAUCAUAGUUGCUAAAAAAAUCAUAUCUCGAGUUAUAAAACUCGAAAUUCAAAUCCGUAAAUUUUCCCCGAAUUUAGACUCAUAUAUCUAUUUAGAAAUUUUUUUUAUAUAAUUUAUUGUUGGUCCAAUUAGUACAGUUUAUUAGUUAAAUUCUCCCCUGUUUCAGGGUUUUGCUAUUUUGACCCUUGUGCACUACGAACCAAAUUUCUCCCUGUACAAAAUUCAAAUAACCAUGCCGUUUGUUUCUCUUAGAAAUAGACCCAAUGAGGAAUCCAGACAUAUAUAGUAUGACUCAUAAUUAUUUUUUUGAAAUUUUUAAUGAUUUUUACAAAUUAGAACAAGGGAACUCGAAGUCAUUCAGACUCUAUCUCACAACAAUUUAAAUAUCUCAUAACAUAAAAUCCAAUUGCAUGCACCGUUUCCUUUAUAUGAAACUAGACUCAUUAGGAUUUAAUCUCAUUUUUUUCUCAGCCCUUAACUCAAUUUCCACAAUUUAUGGUGAAUUUUCAAGGUCAAACUACUGCUACUUACCAAAAACUGUUUUAGUACAAAUAUUGUUAACUAGUUUAUAACAUCUUUUCUUCAAUUCAUUCAAACUCUAUACAUGCCAUAUAAAUCUUUAAACAUAAAAUAAAAACUACCGGAAUUGAUCUGAAUAGUGUGCCUUGUUGUGUUGAUCCGAUCUACCAACUUCUCUUUAAUUCAAUCUACAAAAGAAAUUAUCAAACACACACAAGUAAGCUUAUUGAAGCUUAGUAAGCUCAUAGGCAUAAAAACACAAAUCUUAUCAAAUAUUGUACACAAUCAUAUAUCUAUUAGUUUAACUAUUUCAUCCUCCAAAUCACAAUUUCAUUAAUAACUCAUUUGAAUAAUUUCCAUAUGGCUACUCACAAUUUAACUCCCUUAGGCCCAUUUCUCAUUUACUUCAUUGUCAAAUUAGGGAACAAUAAGGGAAUUGAGUGCUCCAUUAUCACAUUGCCAUAGUAAACUAUGGACUUUCACAUUGUUACGCGUCACACACCGAAGCCAUAGCCUUGCCAUGGUCUUACACGGUUCACAUAUCAUACCGAAGCCAUAUCCCAGACAUGGUCUUUUACGGAAUCACAUUAUCACAUUAUACCGAUGCCAUAGCCCAGCUAGGGUCUUAUACGGAGUCACAUUAUCACAUUGCACCGAUGCCAUAGCCCAGCUAUGGUCUUAAACGGGCGCACUUAUCACAUAUUUUUCGUCAAUUCAUCAGGGUCACAGAAUAGAAGCACUCAAAUCCAUUGUUCCUACUAAUUUGUACUUUUAGUUACACAUUAUUUAUUAGUUAAUGCAAAUUGAUAGUAUUCAUCAACAAUAAAAUACUUUAACAAUCAUAAGAUUUUCAUAACAAAACAUUGAACUUUGCCAUAUGAACUUACCUGGGCUAAUUUGCAAAAGUCGUAGAAAUUCAGGGAUUAUUCUUGAAUUUUUUCCUUUCCACGAUUCAGUUCGUUUUCUUGAUAUGAUGUAAAAAUAUGAAAAACCAGCUUUCUCCAGACCUUCUACGGCGUUUUGGCUGAUAAAAUAUGAAGAGAUCUCUAGAUUCUUCAAUUUUGUUCUUAUUUUAUAUGUUAAAGUUGUAAAAUUUCCAAUUUUGCCCUUAUUUCCCUUAUUUUUCUGCUGAUUUUCUUGCCUUUUCCGUCCAGCCUAUUAAAUUUUAGGCUUAAUUUCCCUUUAAAUCUUCCUUCUUUUAACACUUGAGCUAUUUAAUCCUUUUAGCAAAAUUUAUUUUUAUUACAAUUUAGUCCUUUUUAUUUAAUUGACUACCUAAUCGUUAAAAUUUCUCAACCAAACUUUAAUACUAGCUAAAUGAAACUUCAUAAAUAUUUAUAAAAAUAUUUAUAGCUUGAAUUUUAAAUUCGAGGUCUCGAUACCUCGUUUUUGACCCGUUUGACCUAAUAAAUUCUUUUAAUUCACUAAUUUCACCAUUUCACAAAUUCUUCUAAAUUCUUACGUGACUCAUAAAUAUUAAAUUACAAUCUUGUUCAAUCUUAUUUGUCGGAUUUAGUGAUCUCAAAUCACCAUUUUCGACACCACUGAAAAUUAGGCCGUUACACCUGUUCCGAGUUAUGGUUCAGUUUUGGAAUUCUGCUUACAAGUGUUUCACUUUUGAGGAAGUGGAUUUAGUACCUAACGUGGAGGAAUAUACUACCCUGCUCAGGUGUCCAAAAGUUUAAGUUAGAAUAGCUUAUGCCAAGGUCUUUAAUGGUCAAACUUUCACGAAGAAAUGGAUGAAUAUUUUAGGGACGAGCGAGCCUUGGGUCACUGCUCGGGUUCAACAAAAGGGAGAUAGUAAAUGUAUCCCUUGGGAGAAUUUGAAAGAGUUGGUUUUAACACAUCCGGAUGAAAGAAAAAGGGUCAAUAUCUUCGCCUUAAGCAUAUUUGGAUUGGUAAUUUUUCCUAAGGCUUUAAGGCACGUGGAUGAGGCAGUCUCUGAUUUAUUCGACCGUCUUGAGAAGGGAAUCACACCUGUGCCUGCAAUAUUGGCUGAGACGUUCAGAUCCUUGAGCAUGUGUCGGAAGGCAGGCGAGGGGCAGUUUAUUGGAUGUACGCAGCUGUUGAUGGUGUGGUUUCAUAGGCACUUUUGGAAGGUAGACAAGGUUUUUUAUCGGGUCUUUUCUGAAGGUUAUUCCCCGUUAAAAGAGGAGGCAGCCAUACAAAGGAGAGAGGAUAUCUCAGAGGAGAAGUGGAUAGAAAUUCUUCAAAAUCUCAAGGAAAGGGAUAUCGAGUGGAGAGCAUUUUAGAUGGUUCCCGAUAAAAUCUUGUAUCGAUGUGGGAACUUUGAUUGGGUGCCGUUGUUAGAAAUUUGAGGAGCUACUGGAUAUACUCUGUUGCUUGCAUUAAGACAGUAUAAAUCAAGUCAAUUUGUACCCGCGACUUACGGGCUUACUCAGUGUGAAUUCUCCUUUAAAGGUGACCACUAUAAGAAGAAGGUUUGGGAACUGUCUGAUGCUUGGAAACAAACUCACUGGAUGAAGAGGUUGGCUAUCGGCUCUAUGGUGACACCCUGAAUACAAUAGAUGGUUUAGAAAGAGGGUCAAUGAAAAUAUUCUUAAGCCAAGUUUAGAAGAUACUCGACCUGUGGUGGAACAAUUACAAAUCGCCCCGUAAGAGUUGGAAAUUAUAAAGCAAGACUUUGAGAAGAAGAAUUCUAAGCUUGGGAAAAGAUCGAACAAUUGGAGGAAGAAAAGAUGCAUCGGAUAUUAGAUGUAGACGUUCAGAGAUCAGAGGCUGAGAAGUGGAGAAAAUGGAAAAGUAGGGCCGAAAAAGAUCUAGACAGUUUGAAGAUAGAUUAUAAAAAGUUACGCCUGUCUAUGAGGACUGUCGGGUUAGGUAAAACUUUCGAACAAUGGCGCCAUGAAAUUCGAGAGGAAAAGACCAAAGCUGGCCGAUGGGAAAGGAAAUUCUGAGAAGCUCAGGCACUAAAUGAAGAUUUGGAGAAGAGUCUGUCAGAAAGCAGAAAUGAACAAGGUGAAUUAAGGGCUAGAGUGGCAGAACUCGAGAAGUCUCUUCAUCAAUAUCGAAGCCGUAAUACUGUAAUGGAGUUGAGGGCAAGCUUGAGCAAGGUAGAAGAAAUGAAAGGAAAAAUAGAAGAAUUAGAAGCGUCACUACAAAACUGUGAGAUGCGGAUUCAGUUUUUCGAAGCAAGCGAGGAGUGUUGGAACGAGCAGCUUCACCAUGCACAAGACCAAGUUAGGAAUAGGGAUUACAUUAUGAGGGAAGCCAUAACUCAGAUUCGGGAGGUAGCCGAAUACUUGCAAGCUUUAGCGGUACAAGCGGACACACUGAGCGUGAAGUACGAGUUGGAGUCAGAUCGGGGGCAGAAGCUAGCCUCGUUGCUUAGGAAAAUUAAGGCUCUGAGCAUUAGGGCGAAGUUUUAUUUGUAACUCAUUUUUAUGUAAAGAAUUUUAUUUUCUAAUGAAUUUUCUAAAGGGAAUUGAAUCAAAAUUGAUGCCUCCUUUGCAUUCAUGUAUUUGCAUUGCAUUACAUCAUAUGCAUUAAAGGUCAUAAAAAAGAUUCUAAUUAAUUAAAAAUUAUUAAAACCAACCAACUACACACCCCUAUGGUACAAGGAAAAAGACCAAGUCAAAAGACAAAAGACUUGAGAAAUUGGAGCAAAUGCAAAAGGACAUGCAGGAACAAAUGCAGUCACAGAUGCAAGAGCAGCUAGCCAAGAUUCAACAAGAGAUGAAAGAGCAAAUGAUGGAAUCCCAAAAAGAGAUGAUGAGUCAGUUGUCCCAACUGCUGAUAGGAAGAAUGGAUAAAGGAAAGGGUCUCAUGGACAAUGUUGAGGAAAAUAAUAAAGACCCUCAAUAUCCUCCAGGCUUCACUCCAACACAUAUACCGACACAACCUAAGAUUAAUCUGAAAAGACCAUCUGUUAUGAUUAUGCCUCAGCAAAUUCAAGCCGGAGCUGUGAUACCAAUGAAUUUCCAAGCCGGCUCAGGCUCUAACCCUGUUAAUAACUCGAAUUAUCCACUCGUUCCUGAUUUGGAUAAAGUCGUGGAAAAGGAAAAGGCAAAGAUAGAAUCGCAAAAACAAUUGGAAGAACGGUGUAAAUGGCUGGAUGAAAAAUUCAAAGCUAUGAAAAACGCUGAUAGUCAUCACGGGAUUGAUGCUAAGAACCUGAGCUUGGUCCCAGACUUGGUCCUUCCCCCCAAGUUCAAAAUGUCUAAAUUUGAGAAGUACAAUGGAACGAGCUGCCCUGAGGCUCAUAUCACUAUGUUUUGCAGGCGACUGACGGGAUACGUCAAGAAUGACCAGCUAUUAAUUCACUGCUUUCAGGACAGUCUGGUUGGGGCGGCAUCUAAAUUGUAUAACCAAUUGAGCCGUGCUAAGAUUAACUCAUGGAAAGACCUAGCUCAAGCCUUUAUGAAACAGUAUAGUCAUGUGACGGACAUAACUCCUGACAAGAUCACUCUCCAGAAUAUGGAGAAGAAACCAAAUGAAAGUUUCAGACAGUAUACGCAAAGAUGGAGAAAAGUUUCCAUACAAGUUCAACUGCCGCUUUUAGAAAAAGAAACCACGAUGUUCUUUGUCAACACUUUGAAGGCCCCUUUUAUCACUCAUAUGUUGGGGAGUGCCACCAAAAGCUUCUCAGACAUAGUGAUGGCAGGUGAAAUGAUUGAAAAUGCUGUGAGGAGUGGCAAAAUCAAAGUAGGGGAAAGUACCAAAAGAUUGGCCCCGAAAAAAAUAGAUAACGAAGUGAACAACACGAGCACAUUUAGUAAGGGUCAGUCCAAGUCACUCACUGUAAACCAACCAAAGACGGUGACCACCAAUCAACACAGUACUGUGAGACAAGAAUCCAACGCGAGGGCGAACACAGAAAGGCCACAGUUCACGCCUAUACCCAUGAUGUAUAGGGAGCUGUACCAGAACCUAUUCAACGCUCAUGAAGUGUCCCCUUUCUACUUGAAGCCACUGCAACCCCUAUUUUCCAAAUGGUAUGACACAAACGCCCAAUGCGAAUACCAUUUGGGAAUCACCAGACACUCGAUCAAAAACUGCACCGCGUUCAAGAAGCUAGUUGAAAGAUUCAUUAAAAUGGGGAUUGUAAGGUUUGAUGACCCAGCCAUACCCAAUGUAGCAAGAAACCCGAUCCUCAAUCAUACCGACCAAGGAGUAAACAGGAUAAGUGAAGGCGGAAGCAAGAAGAUCAAAUAUGAGGUUGCAGAGGUCAGGACCCCAUUAAGACGGGUGUGGAAGGAGAUGGUCAAGAGAGGAUUAAUCGUGUCGGAUUUGAAAGAAGAAUCUGAAGAAGAGAGGAACUACUGUGAGUUUCACAACAAAGUGGGGCAUGAAAUUCAAGAGUGUGUAGAGUUCAGGGCCCUCAUACAUGACAUGAUAAACAAUAGAGAAAUGGAGUUUUAUUAAGAAACUGAAAACCCAGAAGAGAGAGAUAUAUGCGCGUCAAAGGGAGAAUCGACGGCGUAGAACCAAACAGUUAACUACCCCGUGGUCAUCAUAUCACGACCCAAAAGUAAUGAAGCGGGAGUGCAAAUGCCACCGAAAGUUAUAAUCCAAAGACCUGCAGUCUUCCCCUAUAAAGACAGCAAGAGGGUCUCAUAGAAUUACGACUGUAACGUGAUGAUCCCAGGAAAAGAGAACCUAGUUGACACUUCAAAAGAGGACCAAGAUAGGGGCUCCUAUACACGUAGCGGGAGACGCUAUGAUUCAGCAAGUGAGAAAGCAGGACCCGUAAAAGGAAAAGCCACGGUGGUCGAAGAGAUGAAGGAGAAAGUAGCUAAAUCUGAACUUUUUGUUAAUGAGCCGGUCAACGAAGAGGAGGCUAAGGAGUUUUUAAAGUUUUUAAAGCACAGCGAAUACAAUGUCGUGGAACAACUACGUAAACAACCAGCUCGUAUCUCGGUGCUGGCCUUACUUCUAAGUUCGGAAGCCCAUCGCAGCACACUGAUGAAAGUUUUGAAUGAAACAUAUGUUGCCAAUGAUAUUUCCGUCAAAAAGCUAGACCGCUUGGUUAACAACAUAAGUGCCGAUAACUUUAUCUUCUUCAAUGACGAUGAGAUACCACCCGGUGGUAGAGGGUCGACUAAAGUUUUACAUAUCACCACGCGUUGUAAGGGAUAUAUGCUAUCAGGAGUACUGAUUGACAAAGGGUCGGCCUUGAACGUCCUACCAUUGUCCACACUAGGCAGAUUACCUGUAGACAGCUCUCACAUGAAAGAGUGUCAGAAUAUAGUGAAGGCAUUCGAUGGUACGGAGAGAAGGGUGAUAGGCAGAAUUGAGAUACCUCUUCUGAUCGGGCCAAACACAUAUGAGAUGGAUUUCCUGGUGAUGGAUAUCAAGCCUUCAUACAACUGCUUAUUGGAGAGGCCCUGGAUACAUUCAGCUGGGGCAGUGCCUUCAUCGUUGCAUCAAAAAUUAAAGUUAGUAUCAGAGGGGCGGUUGAUAACAAUAAAUGCUGAAGAGGAUAUCAUUACAGCUGUAAGCAGUGAUGCACCCUAUUUAGAGACAGAUGACGAAGAAAUCAAAUGCUCAUUUCGGUCUUUAGAAUUUGUUAAUGCAACAUUCAUUACUGAGGGGAGCAAGAUUCUGACGCCGACUAUAAGGAUGAGUCUGCAAUUGAUGGUUAGAAAAUGAGCUCUACCGAGAAGAGGACUUGGGAGACAUCUCCAAAGAAGGGUUGAAACGCCAGUAUUGAAGGACAAGAGAGACCGCUUCGGCUUAGGAUUUAAGCUGGAUGCGAGGCAAAGGAAAAAUGAGCUGGAAAAGAAACAAGAAAGAAUGAGAGCACAGUUGAAGGGGGAGGAAAUCAAAUGGGAGCCAAUGAUACUCCCCCAUAUAUCAAAAACUUUUGUUUUUGGAGGAAUCAUUCAUCCCGAACGCCAAGAAAGGAAGCCAUAGAAGAAAAGUUGGAAAGCUUAGAUAUCAACGCCACAUACGAAGAAGGGGUUGGAGGAGAAAGUUUGUCGAGCAUUUGCCCCUACAUACCUAGAAGUGUUCUGGAUAACUAGACUGCAGAAGAGAUUCCUAUAGUUUUUAGAGCUGACUCAGAGUAAUUUCCAAAGCACACUUAUUGCUCUAGGCCUAGGAGUAAUAAGAAUCUUUUGUGAAAUAGGCUUAUGUUCAAAAACGUUAUUUCAAUAAAAUGCACAGUUAUUAUCAUUUUGAGUAGAUAUUCUUUCAUUCUUUCUAUUUCAUUCAUAAUUAUAUUAUACAAACGAUUACUUUCGGAUUCUUUUGUCCUUCGGAUAUUCUUUUAAAUAUUCUUUCGUUCUUCAUUCAUAAUCAUACCAUACAGAUAAGUAUCCUUAAAUUCUUUUGGUUCUUUGUAUCUUCCUUCAUCCUCAUAACAGGUCCACAGAUAUUAAUGAUAUGAGUGACACUGCUAGUGGCUCAGAGUCUCCUUUUGAGCGAGAUAUGUGUAUGGAGGAUUCUCAGGAUUUUGAAGAUGACCAAGGCUGUAACCUAUCUCCUGAUCUAUUGAGGAUGGUAGAACAAGACGAGAAAUAAAUCCUACCUCACAAAAAAUCAGUAGAAAUUGUAAGCUUAAGAGAAAGACAAUAGGUGAAGAUCGGAACUUGUAUCACCAUAGAGAUGAAGUGAGACAUUAUCGAAUUACUUCAAAAAUUUAAAGAUGUCUUUGCAUGGUCAUACCAAGAUAUGCCCGGGUUGAACACCGAUAUUGUGGUGCAUCGACUCGCCAUAAAAGAAGAAUGUAAGCCAGUUCAGCAAAAACUCCGAAGAAUGAGGCCCGACGUCUUGUUAAAAAUAAAAGAAGAGGUUAGAAAGCAGUUUGACGCUAGAUUUUUAAAGGUGGUAAAAUACUCAGAGUGAGUAGCCAACAUCGUCCUCAUCCCUAAGAAGGAUGGAAAAGUACGAAUGUGUGUAGACCACAGAUAUUUGAAUAAAGUCAGCCCAAAAGAUAAUUUCCCACUACCUCAUAUUGACACAUUGGUGGACAACACGGCAAGACACUCACUGUUUUCCUUCAUGGACUGUUUCUCUGGAUAUAACCAGAUCAAGAUGCAUUCUGAAGACAUGGAGAAGACUACAUUUGUAACCAUGUGGGGGCCGUUCUGCUACAAGGUGAUGCCGUUUGGAUUGAAAAAUGCAGGGGCAACAUAUCAAAGGGCCAUGGUAACCCUAUUUCACGACAUGAUGUACAAAGAAAUCGAAGUUUAUGUCGAUGAUAUGAUCGCAAAGUCCCAAAUAGAGAAGGAGCACAUAAAAGUCCUGAGAAAGUUGUUCUUAAGGUUGAGGAAGUUUCAGCUAAAACUCAAUCCAGCCAAAUGUACCUUCGGAGCCAAGUCUGGAACGCUACUCAGAUUCGUGGUUAAUGAGAAAGGGAUUGAGAUUGAUCCAGACAAAGUCAAAGCCAUACAAGAGUUAUCUCCGCCGCAUGCCCAGAAAGAGGUUCGAGGCUUUCUAGGAAGAUUAAAUUACAUCGCUCAGUUCAUCUCACAACUAAUCGAGGAAUGUGACCCUGUUUUCUGCCUCCUCAAGAAACACAACCCAGGUGUAUGGGAUGAAAAAUGCCAAAGGGCUUUCGACAAGGUCAAACAAUACUUAUCCAACGCUCCAGUACUGAUGUCACCUAACCCCGAUAAGCCAUUGAUACUGUAUUUGAUAGUAUUUGAGAAUUCCAUGGGAUGCGUGCUUGGUCAGCAUGAUGAGUUAGGAAGGAAAGAAAAAGUUAUUUACUAUCUUAGUAAAAAGUUCACUGAAUGUAAGACAAGAUAUCCGCCGAUAGAAAAGUUGUGUUGUGUCCUAGUUUGGACAACCCAAAGGUUGAGGCAGUAUAUGUUGUAUCACACUACUUGGCUCAUCUCAAAACUGGACCAUUUAAAGUACAUGAUAGAGUCAACAGCUUUGAAUAAAAGGAUGGCCCGAUGGCAAAUUCUGCGCUCUGAAUUCGACAUAGUUUAUGUGAAUCAAAAAGCAGUAAAAGAUAGUGCAAUAGCAGAUUUUCUGGCCAGUACAGCUUUAGAAGAUUACGAGCCCUUGAACUGCGAUUUCCCGAAUAAAGACCUGAUGUGUGUUGUUACCGCUGAAGAAGGUACUCUGGAAGAACCUCUCUGGAAACUAAACUUCGAUAGGGCAUCAAAUGUUGUGGAUAAUGGAAUCGGGGUAGUCUUGGUAUCUCCGAACGGAGAUCAUUAUCCAUUUACUACUAAAUUAGAUUUUGAUUGUAUGAAUAACAUGGUAGAAUACGAGGCGUGUAUCAUAGGUAUUCGUGCAGCCAUAGAACACAGGAUUUAAGUGCUAGAGGUGUAUGAAGAUUCUGCGUUAGUGAUUUAUUAACUCAAAGGAGAAUGGGAGACCAGAGAUCCUAAGUUGAUCGAUUAUAGAAAACUGGUCCUUGAAUUGGUUAAAGAGUUCGAUGACAUUACUUUCUGCUACCUUCCUCGAGACGAAAAUCAGAUGGCCAAUGUUUUGGCUACCUUAGCUUCCAUGAUCAAGGUGAACAAACAAGAAGAUGUCAAACCCAUCCGAAUGAGCAUUUAUGAAACUCCGGCUCACUGUUACAAUAUUGAAGAAGAUAAAAAAAAAGAUGAUCACCCUUGGUAUCACGAUAUAUUGCAAUACGUGAGGAAUCGUGAGUACCCGGACCAGGCAAGCGAGAAUGAUAAAAGAACACUGAGAAGAGUGGCCAUUGACUAUGUCUUAAAUGUGGAUAUCCUAUACAAAAGAAGAAAGGAUCAAGUGCUAUUAAGAUGCGUAGACACUGUAGAGGCUAAGAAAAUAUUGGAAGAAGUCCAUGAAGGCGUCUGCGGGACACACGCUAAUGGCUUUACAAUGGCCAGGCAAAUUAUGAGAUUCGGGUAUUAUUGGUCCACUAUGGAAGGAAACUGUGUCAAUUACGCUAAGAGAUGUCAUAAAUGUCAAAUCUAUUGAGACAAAAUUCAUGUGCCUCAUUCACCGCUGCAUGUCAUGACUUCUCCAUGGCCUUUCUCUAUGUAGAGUAUAGAUGUAAUUGGACCAAUAUCGCCGAAAGCUUCCAAUGGAUAUCGAUCUAUCUUUGUGGUUAUCGACUACUUCACCAAAUGGGUAGAAGUCGCUUCAUAUGCCAAUGUUACAAAGUCGGAAGUGAGUAAAUUCCUGAAAAAAGAGAUCAUAUGUCGAUAUGGAAUGCUGGAGAGGAUCAUAUCUGACAAUGCAUUAAACUUGAACAAUAGUACGAUAGCAGAAGUCUGCAGUUAAUUCAAGAUCAGACACCACAACUCAUCAUCAUAUCAGCCGAAAAUGAAUUGGGUAGUGGAAGCGGCCAACAAAAAUAUUAAGAGGAUUGUGGGGAAGAUGACUGUGACCUACAAAGAUUGGCAUGAAAAGUUACCAUUUGCCCUCUUUGCUUAGCGAACAUCAGUUAGAACCUGUACUGGGGCAACGCCUUUCUCUUUGGUCUACAGAAUGGAAGCGAUUUUGCCAAUCGAAGUUGAGAUCUUGUCCCUUCGAGUAUUUUCGGAGCUAAAGUUAGAUGAAGUAGAGUGGAUCCAGUCUCGAUACGAUCAAUUGAACUUGAUUGAAGAAAAGAGGCUAAGAGCUAUCCGUUAUGGUCAGAUGUACCAAAAACGAAUGAUGCAAGCCUAUGAUAAAAAGGUUCGCCCGAGGGAAUUCCAUGAGAGGGACCUGGUCUUGAAAAAGAUCCUUCCCAUACAAAAAAAAUUCAGAGGGAAAUGGAUGUCAAACUGGGAAGGAUCUUAUGUAGUAAAGAAAGCUUUUCCUAGAGGAGCAUUGAUUCUAGCCGAGAUGGAUGGUAAAAACUUGCCCAAUCCUGUGAAUUCGGAUUCAAUCAAGAAGUAUUUUACCUAAAAAGUGAGAGGCCAAGGCGAAAACCCGCAAAGGGCGCUUUGAGACCAAAUGGGUUUUUGAGUUGAAAACCCGAAAACGGGCAGCUCAAAUUUUGAACAUGGGGCAUGUGGUAGUCUUGUCCUCCCAAAUUAUCAAGAGGAAAGAACAGUACAUCUUGGAGCAGCAACGAAAUACACGAGACUCCUAAACACAUAUUUAACUCGAAGUAGCCUUUGAGAAGUUAGAAUAGAGAAGCUCGUGCUGCGAUAUCUGGGGCACCCUUUUCUCAUCUUAUUUUGUACCUUAGCAGAUUUGCUAUCUUGUUUAAUUUAUUCACUUUGAGUUUUGCUCAAUAAAAUUCCAUCUUGUCCAUUAUGAUAAUCUCUUUCGAGCAUUUUUCGUUGAAAUCACGAUUUUGGACUUAUAACAUUCACACAAAAGAAGUUAUGCAUAUUACUCUGGAAGGUCUCUAAAUAGUACAAGGACCUGAAACAGGGCCACUAGUCAGGACUAACCAGAUUCAAAAGUUAGAAACAUUGGAAAAAGUAGUCCAAAUUGUGACUAUUUAUUCAGAUUUUCUGUUAAAGAUACCGGCUAAACAAAAAGACACAAUAGCACAUCAAUGAUAGAAUCCUGAUGAACUAUGAGCAAUGAUACCUUAAGCAUUUAAAAAGGAAUCACUCUCAUGAAAUUUCUACAUUCAUAAUCAUUCAUCUAGUUAGAAGCAUUUGACUCAUUUUGAUCAUGGCAUCCUAAUUAUUUGGCAUAAGCAUAGGUACAGGAAACCGAUUCUACAAAUCAUGCCCUUAGAGGACGGUAUAGCAACAUCGGUGAAUUCACAGAUCUUGUCUUCCUGAAGUUGCAGUGGAACUGAUCAAAGACGAAAAGCCUUAACCCCCUAAGUAGUAGGGUAAUAGGUUAAAGAUUGUAGAUCUUGUCUCCCUAAACAGUAGUGGAGCAAAUCGAAGAAACAAGCCUUAACCCCCUAAGUAGCAGGGUAACAGGUUGAAUAUUACAGGUCUUGUCUCUUCGAAGUUGCAGUGGAACAGAUCAAAGACGGUGAGCCUUGACCCUCUAAGCAGUAGGUAACAGGUUGAAGAUUAUAGAUCUUGUCUCCCUAAACAGUAGUGGAUCAAAUCGAAGAAGCAAGCCUUAACCCCCUAAGUAGUAAAGUAACAGGCUGAAGAUUGCAGACUUGUCUCCUCGAAGUUGCAGUGGAACAGAUCAAAGACGGUGAGCCUUGACCCUCUAAGUAGUAGGGUAACAGGCUGAAGAUUGUAGAUCUUGUCGCCCUGAAGUUGCAGUGGAACAGAUCAAAAAUGGUAAGCCUUAACCCCCUAAGUAGCAGGGUAACAGGCUGAAUAUUGUAGAUCUUGUCUCCCUAAACAGUAGUGGAGCAAAUCGAAGAAGCAAGCCUUAACCCCCUAAGUAGUAGAGUAACAAGCUGAAGAUUGCAGAUCUUGUUUCCUCAAAGUUGCAGUGGAACAGAUCAAAGACGGUGAGCCUUGACCCCUUAAGUAGUAGGGUAACAGGCUGAAGAUUGUAGAUCUUGUCGCCCUAAGCAGUAGCGGAGCAGAUCGAAGACAGUGAACCUUAACCCCCUAAGUAGUAGGGUAACGGCCUGAAAAUUACAGAUCCUAUCUCCCUAAGCAGUAGUGGAGCAGACUGAAGAUUACCAGAUUUUAUCCCCUUUAAGUUUCAGUGAAGUAACUCGAAGCCACCAUUCGUAUCUUCUUGAAGUUUCAGCAGAUUAGAUCGAAGCUACAAACCUCUUCUCCCUGAAAUGGCAUUGAAGCGGCUCGAAGCCACAGCAAAUCUCCUUGAAAUUUCAGCGGAGUAUACCGAGGCUACAAAUCUUUUCUCCCUGAAAUGGCAUUGGAGCGAUCAAAAAUUACAAGUCUUAUCUCCCUAAAGUUGCAGUGGAGCAGUUGCAAUGGAGUAGACUAAAGUUAGCAGAUCUUAUCUCCCUGAAGUUGCAGUGGAGCAAAUCGAAGUCACAAUCCUUAUCUCUCUAAAGUUGCAGUAGAGUAGGAUAAAAAUACACGAACCAUAUCUCUCUGAGGUUGCAGUGGAGCAGUUGCGGUAGAGCAAAUUAAAAGCUACAAGGCUAGUCUCCCUAGAGUUACAACGGAGCAGAUUGAAGCAACAAUUCCUAUAUCCCUAAAGUUGCAUAGGAUUGGAACAAAGCUACCUCGAAGAAGAAGAGCUUCAAAGAAGUCAUGAUUUGACGAGACCGGGCAAAAAUGGUCCUCUUUGAAGUAUUUGCUCUAUUCUCGUUACACGACAAUGAGCAAAGAGGGGCAGCUGUAAACGGGCCAAUUUGCCCGGGUCCACCAAAAUACAAAAUAAAUAUAAAAUCUAAAAAAAAUAUAAAACAAAAUAAAUACUGUCCAAAUUACAGCCCAGAUCACUUGGCCCAAUUUCACAAAUGAUCCAACAAUAGAAAUAGGCCCAGAUGGCCCAAAAGUUAAAACACUAACAGAAACCCUAGGGCUUGUCCCACCUUGCGCCGCAGCCGAGCCCCAGCCUCCAUGUGCCUUCAACAUCGUACGACCGCCACGCGCGCUUCCGUACGCCUCACGCCAAGUCCCAACACACGCCUCGUACCCCGUACCUUUAAACGAACAAAAGAACGACAGCAAAAAGUAAGAAAAAUAUUGUAUUUUUAUAUUUAUUUUUCUUUUAGAUUUCGGCUAUAAAGCAAGACAAACAAUGUAUUGAUUUUUUUUACGCAUAAAAAACACGUAAUAUAAGGCAAUCAAAUAUAUAAAAAAACAGAGAAAGGUGAUUUUUUGCUUUCGAUUUCUAUACUCUUUUUCUUUUUCUUCUUUCUUUUUACUGGCAUUUACUCAAAUCCUUCAUCAUUGCAUUUAGAAAAAUAAAAGAAAAGGGAUAAGAUAAACUUUACCUUGCAA
This 25462-nucleotide long non-coding RNA is filed under the name Gossypium barbadense (sea-island cotton). RNAcentral's name for it is "long non-coding RNA (GBAR_LNC004083)". Lineage: Eukaryota; Viridiplantae; Streptophyta; Magnoliopsida; Malvales; Malvaceae. The record is from RNAcentral.